Molecule: long non-coding RNA, 522 nt
Filed under: Marmota monax (woodchuck)
Lineage: Eukaryota; Metazoa; Chordata; Mammalia; Rodentia; Sciuridae
Source: RNAcentral
GUUCAGUAAGCAGGGCAGCCCAAAAAUGGGUUUUAAGAGAAGUAACAGAGGAAACUACAGUUGUUUGUUGCAUACUUGGAUAUGUGAGAGAUGGGUGUAGGAUGACUUGCCUACAUUUAAAAAAAAAAUUUAAUAUUUAUUUUUUAGAUGUAGAUGGUCACAGCAUAAUGCCUUUAUUUUUAUGUGGUGCUGAGGAUCGAACCCGGGUCCGGCUCGUGCUAGGUGAGCACUCUACCGCUGAGCCACAAUCCCAGCCCUCAAAAAAUUUUAAUCUUGUAAAUGUUAUUACAAAUGAAGAAAUGAGUCUUGGAGAGCUUAAGUGAUCUGCUCUUGGACUCACAGAUUUGAGUCUUUUCCACCAGGUUUCAGUUUCCUUAACUCUUAAGUAAGCUACCAUAAGAUUCCUACAGCUCCCCAAAAGUAUUUAACCCUAAAUUACAUCAGAAGACUGUGAUUCUAAUACUUAUUAGACACUAGUUCUUUCUUAGUUUCCCCGUUUGUAGAAAAGAUGUUGGAUUAGAU